CGACGUGAGGAACCUGCCUCAAAGAGGGGGACAACAGUUGGAAACGACUGCUAAUACCGCAUAAGCCCACGGCUCGGCAUCGAGCAGAGGGAAAAGGAGCAAUCCGCUUUGAGAUGGCCUCGCGUCCGAUUAGCUAGUUGGUGAGGUAACGGCCCACCAAGGCGAUGAUCAGUAGCCGGUCUGAGAGGAUGAACGGCCACAUUGGGACUGAGACACGGCCCAG
This 223-nucleotide ribosomal RNA is filed under the name uncultured bacterium. Its description in RNAcentral is "partial 16S ribosomal RNA". It matches the Rfam family "Bacterial small subunit ribosomal RNA", at positions 113 to 334 of the family's 1533-position model. The record is from RNAcentral.